Molecule: RNA transcript, 1484 nt
Organism: Haliaeetus leucocephalus (bald eagle)
Lineage: Eukaryota; Metazoa; Chordata; Aves; Accipitriformes; Accipitridae
Gene: ACP6
Gene name: acid phosphatase 6, lysophosphatidic
Exons: 6
Source: RefSeq, a predicted model, not a curated record
UAAGUUGAAGAAUGCUCUGCAACAGCCAGGUAUCUCUGACGACUUGAAAACUAUUAAGGAGAAGAUGGGUAUUGAAGGCGAUAAGUCUGUGGACUUUUUUCUCCUCCUUGAUAACAUUCUUGCUGAGCAGGUGCACAAUUUGCCAAGCUGUCCUGUGCUGAAGAACUUUCAGCAGACAGUUGAGCGUCGAUCUGUUGACUCACUGCUUUUCCUUCUGGAAGAUGGUUCAAGAGAAGUUCUUCAGAUGAGUGUUGGUCUCCUUUUCUAUACCUUACAGAAGAACAUUACAGAAGCAGUAGAUCCCUCAUCUCCAGCUGAAAAGGCCAGAAAACUCAUUCUCUAUGCUUCUCAUGACGUUACCCUUAUUCCUGUCCUGGUGGCACUGGGCACCUUUGAUCACAAGUGGCCACCUUAUGCUGCAGAUGUGACCCUGGAACUGUAUGAGCACCGGCAGUCCAAAGAGUGGUUUGUUCGCAUGUCUUACCAUGGAGAGGGCUUCUGCAGUGCCCUCUGUGCCCCGCUCCGGCUUUACCAUUCCCCCUUGGUGCAGAAGUGGUUGGGCCAUCCAUUGGUCUCAUCCCACUGAGCGACUCCAUGGUAGUUGUGGCCCACAGUAUGAAGGAGGAGUUAUUUCUGACCUCAACCAGUGUAAAUAAUGAUUGCAGAAGAGGAUUGGUGGGGCAGUGGAAGAGUUUUAAGACUAAAGGACACAGGCCACCUUGCCAGAAAGAUGACACAGCAGAUAUGCAAGACAACUUACCUUUUUUAGGUUAAGAAUUACUACCAAUCGAUAGAGUGAAGUGCGCUCUACUAAAUACAGGCCUAUAUCAAACAUAGAUCAUUUCUGCUCGAGAAGUAUCAAAAUAGAGAACAGGUUUCAGCCAACAGCCUGCCAAGGCUGCACGAGGAAAGCAUUCACCAUCAUGAGUGCAGAAGAGCACAACCAAUGAAACAUGGCCUUUUCUGCCACCAGAAUGAAAACCAGCACAGUAGAUGGUCAGCAUACCAAGCACCACAAAAUUAAGCCAUGUCUACCAUAAUUGUAAUAGUCCCAACACUGGCACAACACAUGCUGUGUUCCAACAGUCUAGGAAGUGUGUUUAGGAUUCACACUUACCCUCAGGAAGAGUCAGGCACCCACAUCUACUCUAAGUCAGGAUACAUGGAUUGUACCAGAAGCACCACCAGCAUUCAAAUCCCAACCAAGACUGAUGCAGAUUAGAUCUCCACAUACUGAUCUGUCUUCUGAAAUGUUACCCAUCAGAUACCACUAGGAAGUGUCAGGACUAAACUCAUAAGGCUGGCUUGUCAUGUUCUUUGGUAGAUUAGCUAGCCCAUGAUACAGGUACAAAGCUUCAGUUUAUUUGGACAGUGCUUAAAACUGUCAGUGUACUUCACAGAUGACCUGUUUGCAACAGUCUACUACUUUAAAACAAACAGAUUUCAAAUAUUUUAAACUUUUGAUUUAGCAGGCGCAUUACUUU